Molecule: ribosomal RNA, 468 nt
Filed under: uncultured bacterium
Lineage: Bacteria
Description: partial 16S ribosomal RNA
Rfam family: Bacterial small subunit ribosomal RNA
Source: RNAcentral
GACGAACGCUGGCGGCGUGCUUAACACAUGCAAGUCGAACGGAAAGGCCCUGCUUUUGUGGGGUGCUCGAGUGGCGAACGGGUGAGUAACACGUGAGUAACCUGCCCUUGACUUUGGGAUAACUUCAGGAAACUGGGGCUAAUACCGGAUAGGAGCUCCUGCUGCAUGGUGGGGGUUGGAAAGUUUCGGCGGUUGGGGAUGGACUCGCGGCUUAUCAGCUUGUUGGUGGGGUAGUGGCUUACCAAGGCUUUGACGGGUAGCCGGCCUGAGAGGGUGACCGGCCACAUUGGGACUGAGGUGCGGCCCAGACUCCUACGGGAGGCAGCAGUGGGGAAUAUUGCACAAUGGGCGGAAGCCUUAUGCAGCAACGCCGCGUGCGGGAUGACGGCCUUCGGGUUGUAACCCGCUUUCGCCUGUGACGAAGCGUGAGUGACGGUAAUGGGUAAAGAAGCACCGGCUAACUACGUG